Melospiza melodia melodia is the source of this 1889-nucleotide long non-coding RNA. RefSeq lists it as uncharacterized. NCBI's taxonomy places the organism in Eukaryota, Metazoa, Chordata, Aves, Passeriformes, Passerellidae. The record is from RefSeq and is a predicted model, not a curated record. The transcript has 6 exons.
CCCUCGGGCUGGCGGAGGCGCCGGAGGAGCCCCCGAGCUGCAGCCGUCUCCCUCGGGCUGCUGCCGGUGCUGCGGGCGGAGGCGGCUCCGCCGCGUGUUGGGCGCUGCGAGCAGGGAGCGCUGCGGUAUCGCCGGCAUGACGGGGUUGCUGCCUGCGUUAGUGCUCGUGGCUCUUUGUGCCGUGACAGCGGAUGGAGCGGCGCUGGGCGGUAAAGCCAGAGAUGGCCGGGAGAAUGCCCAGCGCAGGGAGCGGGCGGGCUGUAUGCUUCGGAUGGCACAGGUGCGAGCUGCAAAGUCACCCCCCCUUCCGCCCCUGCCCUCCCGAGCCCCAGGGAAAAUGCUUUCCAGCAUUGUCGAGCUUCUGAAAGACAAAACUUGUGAUCUGACACUUGCAUCCAGAAAAGGUUUCUGUCUAGAUUAGCAAAUGCCUCAAUUGUUCUUGGUUACAUCCCAUGACCGGUUUUAGGCAGCGACUUUAUAAUGCUUUUAGGAUUUUCUUGUACAAUGGUGAGAAAAUAGGCAGGUCUGAUAGUGGUUUCACUUUUUGUUCUACUUCACGUUCCGUAAGAUUCUUUUAUGCAAGCACUUGUUUUAAAAUUCUACUGUAAGCGUUUAUGGUUCACUUUUUUUUUCUUUGCAGCACCCGUGACUUUUUUUUCCCUCUAAAUCAGGAGUAAAUAUAGCUGAGUAAAAUUACCUUGAUUUUCUUCCUUCUUUUUUAACUGAAUUGUUUUUAUUAAAAAUCCUAUUUGAAUAUGUAGAAAAAGUGGGGAUGUCUUGUAAUAUAUCGUAGCUUUUCUUGUUUACAGGAUACUCAGAAAAUAUGUCUCCCUUAGAGUCCCACAGAAACGUUCUCAGUGCGAUCUCUAUCAAGUGCUAUGAGUCUUGAUCAAUUGGAGAAGAGCCCAAGAGAAAUUUUUCAUCCCUUGAUAUAAAAGGAAUCAGUGAAUUUUAACUUUGGAGUCCCCUAUGCUAAGGAUGCUCAGCUUACAGGUGAUGAAAUGUUCAGUAAUGUAUUUGCUGCAGCUCUGCUUACCCAAGCUUUGGGUUCCUUCUGUCCCACUGGGAGUUGCCCAAUUUGGUUGCAUCUGGUGAAAUUCACCCUGAGACCUUACAGAACCAGCUCCAACUACAUGAGAGCCAUUUGCAGUUCUCUCCAGACGCCUGGAGAAUGGGCGACGUUUCUGAGGAUCCGGCGAGCGUGCUUCUGUCAAAACUCAGUCUGUGAAAUUCCUGGGGAAAACCCUUCUGUGUCCUGAAGGGUUCAAACUCUGGUGAGGAUCCAGUUAUCAGGUGCUCACCUGGAUGGUUCCAGCUGCCAAAGGGAAAGACUCUCGUGUCCUUGUCGUCGGGCUCGGUGCUGUCCAAGAAGAUACGGGGACUAAAAAAAUCAUAAGAAGCAAAAUACGACUGCAGGGAAAAGAAGCUGGAGAGAACAGAAGAGCCCUGUUGUACUAAUCUUCAUACAAGUACAAAACAACAAAUCAGACCCUGUCCCAACCACUUAGAGCCCAGAACACGAUUUCCUCGGGCUGCCAUUUGUGUGCCAUCGGUACUCACCGUGGAAGGGAGCUGGGGAUUGUUGCAGCUGUUGGGAACGAACUGCUUCUCGUCACACAGAAAUGGAAUUGGGACGACGCCUCGGCCAGCCCCUCUGUGCCAUCGUCUCCUGAAUCUGCAGCAGAGCAGUUCCAGUCCAUCCGGGCACGUGUAAUCCAGUUCCUGAUGAUCUGAGCACACAGAGCAGCGCUCAGCUGCUGUGGGGGGCUCAGGGAGGGCAGAGUGUGCAUUGUCAUCUUCCUGAACCUACAGACAAAUCAAAGUGAGAAGCCACAGGGUGGAAAUCAGUCACAUAUAUGCUAAAUAAAACUUGCAGAUUUUUUUAAGAA